This 289-nucleotide unclassified non-coding RNA is filed under the name Melitaea cinxia (Glanville fritillary). Its description in RNAcentral is "misc RNA ENSMCXG00005001174.1". The record is from RNAcentral. Lineage: Eukaryota; Metazoa; Arthropoda; Insecta; Lepidoptera; Nymphalidae.
AUUUUUCAUUUGUCAAUAAUAAAGGGGAGAGUUAAAUAAAAAAUGGUUAAUUAUUUUAACAUUUAUUUAUUCAUCAUCAUAAAUUAUUAGAACGUUAUCUAAAAAUUGUGCAGGUGUUAUUAGAUUUUCUUGAUGUCUUGCCCAGCCUAGGUACCAUAUUACGGACAUUACAUGGCAACAGCAACCUUACUCUUACUGUUCGUCUCCCUACAACACAAUUACAAUAAUAAGCUCGUAUGGCGUCCCAUCCUCUGCGAGAAUUGUCAACUAAUAUGUAAAAAACGUCGUG